GGCGGUGGUGGUGGGCACGGUGUUUCUUUCGGUGUCGGUGGUGGUGGCGGUGGAGGACAUGGAGUUUCCGGUGGUGGUUUUGGUACGACCGGUGGUUUUGGUGGUGGUUCGACUGUCGGUGGUUUUGGCAUGAUCGGAGGUUUGGGUAUGAUUGGAGGAUGGAUAACGGGUGGAUUAGGUAUGAUUGGAGGAUGGACAACGGGUGGAUUAGGUAUGAUUGGAGGAUGGAUAACCGGUGGAUUAGGUAUGAUUGGAGGAUGGAUAACCGGUGGAUUAGGUAUGGUCGGGGGAUACACAAUCGGAGGGUGCACAAUUGGAGGUUUAGGUACGGUUGGUGGUUCGACUACCGGAGGUUUUGGCUCGACGGGCGGUG
This 373-nucleotide long non-coding RNA is filed under the name Erythranthe guttata (spotted monkey flower). Its description in RNAcentral is "long non-coding RNA (EGUT_LNC000418)". Lineage: Eukaryota; Viridiplantae; Streptophyta; Magnoliopsida; Lamiales; Phrymaceae. The record is from RNAcentral.